AACGAACGCUGGCGGCAUGCCUAACACAUGCAAGUCGAACGAACCUUUCGGGGUUAGUGGCGGACGGGUGAGUAACACGUGGGAACGUGCCCUUAGGUUCGGAAUAACUCAGGGAAACUUGUGCUAAUACCGAAUGUGCCCUUCGGGGGAAAGAUUUAUCGCCUUUAGAGCGGCCCGCGUCUGAUUAGCUAGUUGGUUGAGGUAAUGGCUCACCAAGGCGACGAUCAGUAGCUGGUCUGAGAGGAUGAUCAGCCACAUUGGGACUGAGACACGGCCCAAACUCCUACGGGAGGCAGCAGUGGGGAAUCUUGCGCAAUGGGCGAAAGCCUGACGCAGCCAUGCCGCGUGAAUGAUGAAGGUCUUAGGAUUGUAAAAUUCUUUCACCGGGGACGAUAAUGACGGUACCCGGAGAAGAAGCCCCGGCUAACUUCGUG
Molecule: ribosomal RNA, 434 nt
Filed under: uncultured bacterium
Lineage: Bacteria
Description: partial 16S ribosomal RNA
Rfam family: Bacterial small subunit ribosomal RNA
Source: RNAcentral